This is a long non-coding RNA of Bos taurus (domestic cattle), 391 nucleotides long. The record is from Ensembl. NCBI's taxonomy places the organism in Eukaryota, Metazoa, Chordata, Mammalia, Artiodactyla, Bovidae.
GUUGUUUGUCUCCAAGUUGAGCUUGAGAAGCUGAACUGUUUUAGAGAUGCCCAGAACCUAGCCUCCACCUCUUCACAACACAGUUGCAGCACACGGGAUCUGUUAGUCGUGCCAUGCAGAAUCUUUCACCGCAGCCUGCGAACUCAGUUGUGACAUGUGGGAUCUAGUUCCCUAACCAGAUCAGAUACCACCUGGAAUCCUGUGGUCAGUUCUGGAUUCCUUUGGAGAACACUUUGGGAGUGGCAAAAGUAAAUUGGACUCCACAGUGGGUAUGAGGAUGGAGAUAAGACCUUGGAUCCAUAUGGCAAAAGAGCCUGGAGAUGUUCAUCCAAAACCAAGCCAAUCAAGAGGGAGUCAUUAUAACCACCUUUAAAUAAAGAACUGUUCUACA